Long non-coding RNA from Notolabrus celidotus (New Zealand spotty), 1198 nucleotides. RefSeq lists it as uncharacterized. The record is from RefSeq and is a predicted model, not a curated record. The transcript has 4 exons. NCBI's taxonomy places the organism in Eukaryota, Metazoa, Chordata, Actinopteri, Labriformes, Labridae.
ACACACGCUGCAGGAGGAACAGUCGCAGACAAACAGCUGCUGAUCUGCAGAAAGAGUCAAAUUACCUCCAAACAUCCAGAGCUGGUCUCAGUCUGAAGUGCAGCAGGCUAAUUAGAUGAAGAGUGGGUGAGACCAGCAGGCACCACAUACAAACUCACGAAAACGCAAGAGAGGAGAGAAGAGAGGGGGAGGGUGAGACCCAGAAGAAGGAGAAGAGAAGGUCUGUGAAACAUCUCCAGGACGUUUUGUGUACAGCUGAGUUUGGAGAGUUAACAAGUGGAAACAGACGUGCUCAAAGUGGAGUUACACACAUUUACUACAGAGGUGCAGUGCAGUGACGUCUCCUUCCUGAAAGCUACCAGCUGCAUUUCUGUCGAACGUCUCGGUGGGACCAACAUCUCAGAGGCAACAUGGAGGUGAAAGAGGAAGUGCUGGAUAUUCUUCAGAAGGUCUGGAUCAAACUGCAGGGACUACCAAAAGCCAGUCCUCUGGAGCUGGGAGCCUUCUUUGUGCUCAUCCUGUUUGUAGCCACGGUUCUCUUUCUGAUCGUGUUGUCCUGCGUACACUGCUGCUGCUGUGGGAAACCAAAAUACCAGGGGUCCAGGGUCCGGCCUCUACAGCCUGCCUGAGGCUGACUCAGAAAAGACUUCUCAAGAGGAAACCUUUGAAGGAGGUUCAUCAAGGGAAGGAUGGCAGGAUUUUUCUAGUUCUGGAUUCAGAAAGCCAUGCAAAUGGAAUCCACAUAAAUCAGCAGAGUGGCACAACUCAUCACGAUUCAUUUCAGACCAGGACAAUGAAACUCUGUGUGACAGCCCAGUCCAACAACAAGAGCCCUACAGUGGAGCCAUGGAUGAAAAGAGACAGUGGGAAAGCUGAUUUGUGUCACUCCACCUUUACAAAUGAGCUGGUCCGGUGCCCUGUUCACUCAUUUGGAAUGUGAAAACAUAAUAGUCAUGUUGUACAGACAUUCCUUCUUUCUUUCUCUCCCUGGUGUUUUCUUGUAAUUCCAUGUUUUCAGCAGAGACUGUGAUGCAGUGAAGACACAGCGCCCUCUGCUGGUCAGCUGUAAAGCUUCUUUUCUUUUACUGUGCCAAUACAGCCAGCGGUUAAAAAUGUAUUCUUGUUCUUACAACAUGGAAGUGUUGCUCUUGAAGGGAAGUGAUUUAUUUGUUAUUAAAUUGAAAUGCAGUACAUGUAA